UACGUAGGGUGCGAGCGUUAAUCGGAAUUACUGGGCGUAAAGCGUGCGCAGGCGGUUUUGUAAGCCGGAUGUGAAAUCCCCGGGCUUAACCUGGGAAUGGCAUUCGGGACUGCAAGGCUGGAGUGCGGCAGAGGAGACUGGAAUUCCUGGUGUAGCAGUGAAAUGCGCAGAUAUCAGGAGGAACACCGGUGGCGAAGGCGGCGCUCUGGAACAUUUCUGACGCUGAGGCUCGAAAGCGUGGGGAGCAAACAGG
Molecule: ribosomal RNA, 253 nt
Filed under: uncultured bacterium
Lineage: Bacteria
Description: partial 16S ribosomal RNA
Rfam family: Bacterial small subunit ribosomal RNA
Source: RNAcentral